UCAAGCGACUAAGUGUAUGUGGUGGAUGCCUUGGCGAUCACAGGCGAUGAAGGACGUGACAGCCUGCGAAAAGCUGUGGGGAGCUGGCAAAUAAGCUUUGAUCCACAGAUGUCCGAAUGAGGGAACUCACCUGCUUUGCAGGUAUCCCAUCCUGAAUAUAUAGGGAUGGGAGGCGAACGAAGCGAACUGAAACAUCUAAGUAGCUUCAGGAAAAGAAAUCAACCGAGAUUCCGAAAGUAGCGGCGAGCGAAAUCGGAUCAGCCCAGCACUCGAUAGCAGCCAACUUACGGGAACGGUCUGGAAAGUCCGGCCAUAGAGGGUGAUAGCCCCUUACUGGAAAAGGCAGCUGUGGUACUAAGUGUGCGAUAAGUAGAGCGGGACACGUGACAUCCUGCUCGAAGAUGGGGGGACCAUCCUCCAAGGCUAAAUACUCGUGAUCGACCGAUAGCGUACCAGUACUGUGAAGGAAAGGUUAAAAGAACCCCGGGAGGGGAGUGAAAUAGAUCCUGAAACCGCAUACAUACAAACAGUAGGAGCCUCGUUAAGGGGUGACUGCGUACCUUUUGCAUAAUGGGUCAGCGACUUACGUUUAAUGGCGAGCUUAACCGUAUAGGGGAGGCGCAGCGAAAGCGAGUUCGAACAGAGCGUUCAGUCGUUAGGCGUAGACCCGAAACCAGAUGAUCUAUCCAUGGCCAGGUUGAAGGUGUGGUAACACACACUGGAGGACCGAACCGACUAGUGUUGCAAAAUUAGCGGAUGAGCUGUGGAUAGGGGUGAAAGGCUUAACAAAUCUGGAGAUAGCUGGUUCUCCCCGAAAACUAUUGAGGUAGUGCCUCGUGUAUGACUCCAGGGGGUAGAGCACUGUUAUGGCUAGGGGGACAUGGCGUCUUACCAAACCAUGGCAAACUCCGAAUACUUGGAAGUUUGAGCACGGGAGACAGAGCACCGGGUGCUAACGUCCGGACUCAAGAGGGAAACAACCCAGACCGCCGGCUAAGGUCCCUAAUAUUGACUAAGUGGAAAACGAAGUGGAAAGGCUAAGACAGUCAGGAAGUUGGCUUAGAAGCAGCCAUCCUUCAAAGAAAGCGUAAUAGCUCACUGAUCGAGUCUUUCUGCGCGGAAGAUGUAACGGGGCUAAGUCAAUAACCGAAGCCGCGGAUUCACACUUGUGUGUGAGUGGUAGGGGAGCGUUCUGUAAGCCUGCGAAGGUGACUCGUAAGGGUUGCUGGAGGUAUCAGAAGUGCGAAUGCUGACAUGAGUAACGUUAAAGCGGGUGAAAAGCCCGCUCGCCGUAAGCCCAAGGUUUCCUGCUCUACGUUCAUCGGAGCAGGGUGAGUCGGCCCCUAAGGUGAGGCUGAGAAGCGUAACUGAUGGGAACAAGGUUAAUAUUCCUUGACCACCGCUGAAUGCGAAGGGGGGACGGAGUAUUGAAGAUCAUCCGGGUGUUGGAUAUCCCGGUUUGCGAGCGUAGGAGGCUGACAGGCAAAUCCGUCAGCGAAUCUCCGAGGCGAAGCAUCGAGCUCUCUUUUGAGCGAAGUGAUUGGAUGUGCUUCCAGGAAAAGCCUCUAAGCUCCAGUUCAGCGGGACCGUACCGCAAACCGACACUGGUGGGCGAGCUGAAUAUGCUCAGGCGCUUGAGAGAACUCAGGAGAAGGAACUCGGCAAAUUGACACCGUAACUUCGGGAUAAGGUGUGCCUUUGUAGCGUGAAGGGAGAAACACCCCGAGCGCGAAGAGGUCUCAGAUAAUCGGUGGCUGCGACUGUUUAUUAAAAACACAGCACUCUGCAAAGACGAAAGUCGACGUAUAGGGUGUGAUGCCUGCCCGGUGCUGGAAGAUUAAUUGAUGGGGUGCAAGCUCCUGAUCGAAGUCCCAGUAAACGGCGGCCGUAACUAUAACGGUCCUAAGGUAGCGAAAUUCCUUGUCGGGU
This 1929-nucleotide ribosomal RNA is filed under the name human gut metagenome. RNAcentral describes it as "bacterial LSU rRNA". It matches the Rfam family "Bacterial large subunit ribosomal RNA", at positions 3 to 1977 of the family's 2925-position model. The record is from RNAcentral.